AGCGAACGCUGGCGGCAGGCUUAACACAUGCAAGUCGAGCGCCCCGCCAGGGGGGCGGCAGACGGGAGAGUAACACGUGGGAACAUACCAUUUGGUUCGGAACAACUGAGGGAAACUUCAGCUAAUACCGGAUAAGCCCUUACGGGGAAAGAUUUAUCGCCGAAGGAUUGGCUCUCGUCUGAUUAGCUGGUUGGUGAGGUAACGGCGCACCAAGGCGACGACCAGUAGCUGGUCUGAGAGGAAGAUCAGCCUCACUGGGACUGAGACACGGCCCAGACUCCUACGGGAGGCAGCAGUGGGUGAUAUUGGACAGUGGGGGCAACCCUGAUCCAGCCACGCCGCGUGAGUGAUGAAGGCAUUAGGGUUGUAAAGCUCUAUUGCCCGGGAAGAUAAUGACGGUACCGGGAGAAUAAGCCCCGGCUAACUUCGUG
Molecule: ribosomal RNA, 431 nt
Filed under: uncultured bacterium
Lineage: Bacteria
Description: partial 16S ribosomal RNA
Rfam family: Bacterial small subunit ribosomal RNA
Source: RNAcentral